GGUUGCUCUAGCAACAAUCACAGAGGUCCCUUGGGAAUUGUUACCAGGGUGAACUCACCAGCCAGGGGAAUACCCCAGAAAGAGCUGCCAGUGGGAGGAGGGCCAGCCUCACUGGUGACUGGAGUCCAGCAGUCCCACUGAUUGGGAGUGCUGAGCCAAGCCCAUGUCGUGCUUCGCUGAUGCAUGGCUGGGCUGAAGAAAGAGCCCUUUGAAUUGUUCAUAGAAAAGACUGGUGCCCAAAAGGCCAGGGCUCAAGAAUGAGGCUGCCUCAAGCACAGUGCUUGGCAGGACACCAGGGCUGAAAGGUACAGCAAAGGCCUCCCAGAAUCGCUUCUCAGAGCAGGGGUUUGCAUCACAGACUGGCCACUGCAAAGACAGAUGGGAACUCACAGGUUUUGUGUGUGUGUUUGUGGUUCACUGCUGAUGGAUGCAUGUCAGAAGGCACCUGAGCCUUGGCCCAGCCUUCAUGUGGAGAGAAAACCCAGACCUGUGUGAGCAGCAGGUACUUGAAGAAAGAGAAGCAAGGCCGAGCCUCCAGGGCUUUGUCAGAGGCUCCUUCCUUCCUGGAAUCCAAUUGUACAACCAGGAGCCAGAGGUCUUGGUGGCCGGAUGUGGGUCUAAUCCUGGUUCCAUGGCCUCCCAACUGAGUGAAUGAGAUUAUAAUGAUAAAAUAUAAUUUACUGUGUACCCGGCACUGCCCUAAGCACUUUGUGUUUCUUAUCUCAUUUACUCUUCACAGAAACUCUUGGUACUAUUACUAUACUCGAUUACUAGAGAAGAAAACUGCGGCACAGGAUAGAGUUGGUUUGCCAAGGACUUUCAGCUUCUUGGGUUGGGACACAUUGUCUAUUUGUUGCAUGUGUGGAGAACAGUGGACAGCAAAGAUCAAAACCCUUAGGGGAGAAGGGCAAGAGAGAGGAUAUGAGUGGGGAUUCUCUGCUCCCCUGAACAGUAUUCCAGGAUUCCUUCACCAAUUGAAGUUCAAGUUUGGUCCUCUGAGCAAAAAGUUUAGAGAAGUUCCUUUAUGCAUUUAUUUAAAUUUAGAAUAAACAUCUCUG
RNAcentral lists this long non-coding RNA (1058 nucleotides) under Pan troglodytes (chimpanzee). Its description in RNAcentral is "long non-coding RNA NONPTRT016805". The record is from RNAcentral. Lineage: Eukaryota; Metazoa; Chordata; Mammalia; Primates; Hominidae.